This 472-nucleotide ribosomal RNA is filed under the name uncultured bacterium. RNAcentral describes it as "bacterial SSU rRNA". It matches the Rfam family "Bacterial small subunit ribosomal RNA", at positions 24 to 518 of the family's 1533-position model. The record is from RNAcentral.
UCAGGACGAACGCUGGCGGCGUGCUUAACACAUGCAAGUCGAACGGGAGUAUUGAAGAAGCUUGCUUUAGAGAUACUUUAGUGGCGGACGGGUGAGUAACGCGUGAGGAGCUGUCCUAUGCAGGGGGACAACAGCUGGAAACGGCUGCUAAUACCCCAUAAGCCGAGAGGUAAAAGGAUCAAUCCGGCAGAGGAGGUACUCGCGUCCUAUCAGCUAGUAGGUGAGGUAACGGCUCACCUAGGCGAAGACGGGUAGCCGGCCUGAGAGGGCGAACGGCCACACUGGAACUGAGAUACGGUCCAGACUCCUACGGGAGGCAGCAGUGGGGAAUAUUGGGCAAAUGGGGGAAACCCUGACCCAGCGACGCCGCGUGGGUGAAGAAAUCCUUCGGGAUGUAAAGCCCUGUUGUAUGGGAAGAGCGGAAGACGGUACCAUACGAGGAAGCCCCGGCAAACUACGUGCCAGCCGCCGC